RNAcentral lists this ribosomal RNA (503 nucleotides) under uncultured bacterium. Its description in RNAcentral is "partial 16S ribosomal RNA". It matches the Rfam family "Bacterial small subunit ribosomal RNA", at positions 30 to 523 of the family's 1533-position model. The record is from RNAcentral.
AUUGAACGCUAGCGUCAUGCCUUACACAUGCUAGUCGAACGGCAGCAUGGAGAGCUUGCUCUCUGAUGGCGAGUGGCGAACGGGUGAGUAAAGCAUCGGAACGUACCGUGUAGUGGGGGAUAACGUAGCGACAUUUACGCUAAUACCGCAUACGCCCUGAGGCGGAAAGCAGGGGAUCGCAAGACCUUGCGCUAUACGAGCCGCCGAUGUCAGAUUAGCUAGUUGGUAGGGUAAAGGCCUACCAGGGCGACGAUCUGUAGCGGGUCUGAGAGGAUGAUCCGCCACACUGGGACUGAGACACGGCCCAGACUCCUACGGGAGGCAGCAGUGGGGAAUUUUGGACAAUGGGGGAAACCCUGAUCAGCCAUGCCGCGUGAGUGAAGAAGGCCUUCGGGUUGUAAAGCUCUUUCGGCUGGGAGGAAAUCGCACAGGCUAAUACUCUGUGUGGAUGACGGUACCAGCAUAAGAAGCACCGGCUAACUACGUGCCAGCCGCCGCCGUAA